CCUACGGGAGGCAGCAGUGGGGAAUAUUGCACAAUGGAGGAANCUCUGAUGCAGCAACGCCCGUGGAGGAUGACACAUUUCGGUGCGUAAACUCCUUUUAUUUGGGAAGAUAAUGACGGUACCUUAUGAAUAAGCACCGGCUAACUCCGUGCCAGCAGCCGCGGUAAUA
Molecule: ribosomal RNA, 169 nt
Filed under: uncultured bacterium
Lineage: Bacteria
Description: partial 16S rRNA
Rfam family: Bacterial small subunit ribosomal RNA
Source: RNAcentral